AGAGUUUGAUCCUGGCUCAGGACGAACGCUGGCGGCGUGCUUAACACAUGCAAGUCGAACGAUGAUGCUUGGUGCUUGCACUGGGUGGAUUAGUGGCGAACGGGUGAGUAAUACGUGAGUAACCUGCCCCUGUCUUUGGGAUAAGCCUGGGAAACUGGGUCUAAUACUGGAUAUUCUGCUUGAACCGCAUGGUUUUUGUUGGAAAGAUUUUUCGGAUGGGGAUGGGCUCACGGCCUAUCAGCUUGUUGGUGGGGUGAUGGCCUACCAAGGCGUCGACGGGUAGCCGGCCUGAGAGGGUGACCGGCCACAUUGGGACUGAGAUACGGCCCAGACUCCUACGGGAGGCAGCAGUGGGGAAUAUUGCACAAUGGACGCAAGUCUGACGCAGCGACGCCGCGUGGGGGAUGAAGGCUUUCGGGUUGUAAACUCCUUUCAGUACAGAAGAAGCGAAAGUGACGGUAUGUGCAGAAGAAGCACCGGCUAACUACGUGCCAGCAGCCGCGGUAAUACGUAGGGUGCGAGCGUUGUCCGGAAUUAUUGGGCGUAAAGAGCUCGUAGGCGGUUUGUUGCGCCUGCUGUGAAAACCUGGGGCUUAACUUCGGGAUUGCAGUGGGUACGGGCAGACUAGAGUGUGGUAGGGGUAAUUGGAAUUCCUGGUGUAGCGGUGGAAUGCGCAGAUAUCAGGAGGAACACCGAUGGCGAAGGCAGGUUACUGGGCCACCACUGACGCUGAGGAGCGAAAGCGUGGGUAGCGAACAGGAUUAGAUACCCUGGUAGUCCACGCCGUAAACGUUGGGCACUAGGUGUGGGGCCUUUCCCUGGGUUCUGCGCCGUACCUAACGCAUUAAGUGCCCCCGCUGGGGAGUACGGGCCCAAGGGUAACAACUUAAAGAAUUGGACGGGGGCCCGCCAAAACCGGCGGAACCUGGCGAAUUAAUUUCCAAUGCACCCCCAAAAAACCUUACCAGGGGUUUGACAUAACCCCGGAAAUCAGCCAAAAAAUGGGGG
Molecule: ribosomal RNA, 1008 nt
Filed under: uncultured bacterium
Lineage: Bacteria
Description: bacterial SSU rRNA
Rfam family: Bacterial small subunit ribosomal RNA
Source: RNAcentral